GAUGAACGCUGGCGGCGUGCUUAACACAUGCAAGUCGAACGGUGAAGGCGGAGCUUGCUCUGCUGGAUCAGUGGCGAACGGGUGAGUAACACGUGAGCAAUCUGCCCCUGACUCUGGGAUAAGCGCUGGAAACGGCGUCUAAUACUGGAUACGAGCUGCGAAGGCAUCUUCAGCAGCUGGAAAGAACUUCGGUCAGGGAUGAGCUCGCGGCCUAUCAGCUUGUUGGUGAGGUAACGGCUCACCAAGGCGUCGACGGGUAGCCGGCCUGAGAGGGUGACCGGCCACACUGGGACUGAGACACGGCCCAGACUCCUACGGGAGGCAGCAGUGGGGAAUAUUGCACAGUGGGCGAAAGCCUGAUGCAGCAACGCCGCGUGAGGGACGACGGCCUUCGGGUUGUAAACCUCUUUUAGCAGGGAAGAAGCGAAAGUGACGGUACCUGCAGAAAAAGCGCCGGCUAACUAUGUG
RNAcentral lists this ribosomal RNA (468 nucleotides) under uncultured bacterium. RNAcentral describes it as "partial 16S ribosomal RNA". It matches the Rfam family "Bacterial small subunit ribosomal RNA", at positions 28 to 507 of the family's 1533-position model. The record is from RNAcentral.